UACAGAGGGUCCAAGCGUUGAUCGGAAUCACUGGGCUUAAAGGGUGCGUAGGCGGCGCCGCAAGUGCGUUGUGAAAUCCCACGGCUUAACCGUGGAACUGCUUCGCAGACUGCGGUGCUUGAGCAUGACAGGGGCAACCGGAACUCUAGGUGGAGCGGUGGAAUGCGUAGAUAUCUAGAGGAACGCCGAACGGGAAGCCAGGUUGCUGGGUCAUUGCUGACGCUCAGGCACGAAAGCAUGGGUAGCGAACGGG
RNAcentral lists this ribosomal RNA (253 nucleotides) under uncultured bacterium. Its description in RNAcentral is "partial 16S ribosomal RNA". It matches the Rfam family "Bacterial small subunit ribosomal RNA", at positions 524 to 776 of the family's 1533-position model. The record is from RNAcentral.